GUGAGCUAACUCACUCCUAUAUAAAUUAAAAUGAUACAAAGAAGAUUAGCACAACCUCUACGCAAGGAUAACAUAAAUAAAUUGAAAAAAUAAUCCAUCCCA
RNAcentral lists this small nuclear RNA (102 nucleotides) under Nicotiana sylvestris (wood tobacco). Lineage: Eukaryota; Viridiplantae; Streptophyta; Magnoliopsida; Solanales; Solanaceae. The record is from RNAcentral. RNAcentral also lists the same sequence under 1 other name.